UACGUAGGGGGCAAGCGUUGUCCGGAUUUAUUGGGCGUAAAGAGCGUGUAGGCGGCUUGACAGGUCUGCUGUGAAAACUCGAGGCUCAACCUCGAGAUGUCGGCGGAAACCGUCUGGCUAGAGUCCGGAAGAGGAGGGUGGAAUUCCCGGUGUAGCGGUGAAAUGCGCAGAUAUCGGGAAGAACACCCGUGGCGAAGGCGGCUCUCUGGGACGGUACUGACGCUGAGACGCGAAAGCGUGGGGAGCGAACAGG
This 253-nucleotide ribosomal RNA is filed under the name uncultured bacterium. RNAcentral's name for it is "partial 16S ribosomal RNA". It matches the Rfam family "Bacterial small subunit ribosomal RNA", at positions 524 to 776 of the family's 1533-position model. The record is from RNAcentral.